AGUCUAUGCAGGUUAAACUUGGUUUUCAUUCUGUGGAUCUCCAUGACAUUGGUGUGCUCGGGUUACCCAGUUGGACCUUCCAUGGUUAUUGGCAAGGAAGGCAAUUAAAUAGCCUGACCUAAUAGCAUCUAAUUAACUUGCAAGCCUGAAAAUUCCCCGUUGGAAUGACAUCCCAAUACUCGGGUUUCUGAUUGCCCAGCACAUAUUAAAAUUUGAAGUCAUUGGGUUGAUUAUUCCAGAAAUUAAGCCGAUCUUAAAAGCUCGAUCAGCCGAGACCCAUCUUUUUGACUUCUUCAGUGUGAACCUUCCAGAAGACAUGGAAGGGCUCAGUGUGACAAGAAAUGAGCUGUGGAGAGCUGCUCUCCAGACAUCAUCCCCAGACAUCAUCCCCAGAUUUCAUCCACAACUUCCUGAAGACAACAGGGAGCGAUGGAAUCUUCCACGGGUUAUGCCUCAGGCGUUCGGUGCAUUGAGGGUCGGAAUAUUUUGUGUUCACUCCUUGUGGUCGGUCAAACGAACCUGUGAAUUGAAAAGAUUGGAGGAUUUUGGAGCCAUUCAUCACGCAAAAGUGAGUAGUCACCUUUUAGCCACCUCUGGAUUAAUACCCUGCAAUGUCAUGGAAGGGCUGUGCUGCAUUAAUUCCCACGAAUUCCAGCUGGGAAACCACGGAGCCCUCACAGACAACUGUUGGGAAUGGGAAUAGUUAAUAUGUGUGAGGUUUUAUAAAUUGCCCACCCUCCCAGCUAUACUGAUACCAUGAAAAUGUCACUUUUGAGAGAUUUCCCAGAAUUGUGAUCGUUUUUUAGUGAAAAUAGCAGUUUUUGUUUGGAGCACGUUCGUAACCUCAGCCCCAGCCUGCCGAAGAACUUGGCAACCAGAACUGGUUAAAAUACGUUGGAAAAAAGCAGGAAAAUGGGACACUGCCCUCUAACGUCAACAAAUCCAAGCAAAAGGGACUGGAAAGCACCACAGGCAGGUGAAGUGGGAUGAGGAUUCACUCUGGAUGAACAGAGCUUGGAGUAGGAAAGUAGAGGAGCAUUUGAAAUUUGGGGGUUUCAACAGCAUCAAAUGCAGCUGAGCUUCCAGGAAAAGCCAAAUCUGAGCCUCAAGUUCCAUUUGUUUCUCAAAUCCUGCCCCAGGUGAGGCUUCAUCUGUUUCCUUCCUGCCUUUUAGUGGGAUGAACAUUUAGUGGGAUUGGAUCAGAUGGUCCAUUGUGACCUUUUCCCACCUCACCCAUUCCGUGAUCCUGUUUUCCAUGGAAAGGUGGACUCCAAACACAGAAUACUUCAUGCCAGUUGCUAAAACACUCAGAUUAAGUAAAAUAAACAUGUCUUGGAUCUGUUACCACUUCCUAUUGCACCAAAUGUGCUUUAAAAAUAUCAAAGAUACCCAAAAAAGGGAAAAGUCACUAUUUGCAUUAAUAUCAAAGAUCGGAGAACACAGGGAAAGGUCCCUGUGUGAGGUCCCACUCUGUGAUUUCGACACCACCAGAUUUUGGGGAUUUGUUUUCCCUUGCUGCCCAGCAGCAGAUUUCUGUGCAUUUCACAUUUAUUUGUGGCCACCAAUUCACACCCUGGGACCAGUGCUCCUUUUCCAUGGAGAAGGGCUCGGGGAAUAAACAUGAAAGGUGUUCCCAAAACACUCCAGACAGCAAUGCUUAAUUUUGUGAUCACUCAGGCAGCUCACAGGAAUAUUCACAGGGGAAGGACACCAAGGUGGAUGCAAAUCCAAACAUGAUUGAAGCAUCAAUCACUUAUUCAUGGAGAAAUAUUUACAGUGGGGUUUUUUUAACUUGAUGAAGAGAUAAUGAAAUGUGUGUCCUAGGGGGGUUUAUGGGCAAAUUUUAUUCCAAACAUUUGCAAUUAAUGCAGAAAUGGUGCACUCCUCGAGUAUUGAAAAGGGCCAGGAAUGAAACAAAACCCCAGAGGGGUUGAAAUCAGGCUGGCCAGGACUUAUGUCCAAACCGUUUUCCAUUGGAAAAUGCCAGAUCAUAAAGAAUGAAGUGAUCUGUGGAAAUCAAUCAAUCCUGACAGAGUCACAGCAAGGAACAUUCCCUGCCAGCUGUCAAGCUCCUGCUCCAGUCUCCUUCAGGAGCAGAUCCAGGAUGUUCACCCACCCGGACACCUGGACACACAUCCCAUGUCCUGUGUCCUUCCCAGCCCUGGAAGCCACCAGGAGCUCCAGAGCCACUGAAACCCAGUGUCACUGUGACCUUUCUGCUGAGCUGCAUGACAGAUUUCCUGGUCUGGAGUGACACGUGCAGGUGUGUUUGCUUUUUCCCUUUUAUUGUACAUUUUUAACCUCAGAAUUACCGGCACUGAUUUCUGGUCUCCUGAACAAGAAAGGAAAAGCAAAUCCAAGCUGAAAACUGGCAAAACCUGGAGAAAAGCUUUCCCACUCUCCCAGAGCACUGACUCUAAAAGACCAGCAGAUUUAUUGAUGUUAGCAAGUGUUUAUUCCUUGUUUUCCAGAUAAUCCAAAGCAAGCCGAGUGCUCCUGGUACUAAAAGGAGCGGGAAGUGCCAGCCUUGGAGAGCUGCCACCUCGACUGGCCAUUCCCAAACUGCACUGCAGGCACUCCCAGGGGCUGUAGCACGGUGUGUUUCCAGCCCUCCAGGAGGUGUUUCCACAAGCCUUGGCAGCACUUUUGGGUACAUCUGUGGAGGUUGGAGAUGCCCGUGAGCAGAUGGAGCUGCUGCAGAUGGCCCGGCUGGCACACACGGGGAGGAGGGGUGCCACUACAUGAGGUACUUCAAUCACCUUCCACCUCCGUGAACUGGUGUGACCAUAGCUUCCACUGCAGCUCAGACACCUCCAGAUUGCCUUGCUGUUGGCCAAAGAAGCACUUUGGGGAUGAACAGAUGCUGACUUGAUCAAAACCUCUUGUGUUCGCUCUGGUACCUCUUUAAAACCAGCAGCAGAGACCUUGGCUCUGUGGAUGAAGAUUCCAACAUUAGUUCCCACUUGGUUCCGUGGACAUCACCAUUCCUGUUCACCCCUCUUGGAGUGGAGCUUAAGGUCCCUUCCCAAAAAAACCCCAUCGCACGGCUCUGCAGCUUCUGGAGCCCUGGGUCCAUGGAAAUGCAGUUUCAGAGGAGCUCCGAGGAAAUGGUGUUUUGGGGAGAGCAGAGUGGCUGGAACAGAGGAACAGGAUCGGUCUCCUCGAGCGAGCCCUUGUGUCUCAGGGAGCGGGAUCGGCUCGCUCCUAACGCACCUGGUGACUCCCAGAGCGGGGCAUGGAAACGCAGCCCUGGUCCGAAAGAAACCCUGCCCGGGAAGGCGGGCUGGGAUUGGGAGCUGGCUGCGGGAGCUCGCUGUUAAAGGCGAUCUUUUGGCUGUAAAGGUGCGCCUUUGUCUCUGUGCGAAGCACCCGGCCGUAGCGCCCUUUGCGCUGCUGUCUCCUGAUUUCCUUAAGCUUUUAUUAAACUGUCCCUUUUCUUCAACUUUCCUUCAAAUUCU
Molecule: RNA transcript, 3458 nt
Organism: Corvus hawaiiensis (hawaiian crow)
Lineage: Eukaryota; Metazoa; Chordata; Aves; Passeriformes; Corvidae
Gene: NPS
Gene name: neuropeptide S
Exons: 7
Source: RefSeq, a predicted model, not a curated record